GAAUAAAUGGGGGGACUCGGGGGGUGACGAUGAUGUUGCUGGAGGAGCAGGCCAGUGAGAGAUGGGGGCUUUCAGCCCCAAAACGCCUGAACAAUCAUGGGUGGGGUGUUUAGUGGUACUGUGGGGAGGAGAAAUGUCUCCCUGUCCGUUGCAGAGAAAACAGAACAAUCCCACAUCAAAGCUGUCCUAGAGAAGUACUUGCUGUUUGUCAUUGCGGUUCUAGAGCAGCCCCAUGUGCUGUUAAAGGUUGUGGUGGUGCGGGUCAGGGAUCCCCAGGCUGUGCCGAGACCGCAGGACGGCUGCUGGUGGAACAAAGUCAAGGACAACUUCUCAGAGACAGGCGAUCCGGAGGGAAAGAAGGACAGAGAGAAGAGAGUUGGAAAAACUGGCAAUGUUUUACUAAUGCUAUAUUAAGAGUAGAGAAAAUAAUACAAAACCAAUCCUGAAAGUCUCAGCAACUGCAGAGCUGGCACCUGAAGUCCUGGACUGGACUAUGCAGCCAACCGGAGCUGGAUUCAGUCUCUCAGUAGGCCUCAGUUUGCAGGGACGACUAGCAAGGUCCUCUCCUAAUGUCACCAUAAGCAGAAGGGACGAAAAGGGGCAAAGAGGACAAGAUCCUCAUGAUCUGCCACUUCUGUAUGAAGUAUUCAUGUGAAGGGGAUGUUAUACACGGUUGGUCAGUUUGUUGGUCACCUGUUUCUUGUUGCUCCUCUUGCAAGAUGUGAAUCUGUCCUUAUCAACAAGUAAGCAUUCCAUUGCAUUGUUUACCAAAACAUGUAUCUGGUUCUCCAGGAAAAUGCAGCUAAUAUGAAGCUUUAGCUGACAGGCAAAUUCACUGAAAGAGAAACUUGUUUUUUAAUGAAACCAGGACAGCCCCCUCCCCAAUCCCCUCAGGACUCCUCUGAUUCCCAUCUGCUCCUCUCAGGACAGCUGAGCUUGUCUUUUGGGGCCCCUGAGAGCCCCCAUUUACCUUCUUUUACCUACCUUUGUUGUUGUUCCCAGCCUAUCCUGGUGUUUUCCAUCCUUCAGGACUUACUUAUUACUGUUGUGAGAGUCCGAGAGAAAAGGAAGAGUGUCUGUGACUUACAACUGUCGUUGUUGAUCUACAGUGUUUUAGAGACGGAUUCUUGCAGGAUCUAUUUCUGGUUCGUCCUUCACUCCUCCCCAGACCGCAGCGCUGGUCCGAGUUCCCCAGCACACGUGUGUGUGUCCAGCCGGGUACGCUGGGGGAGCGCGUCAGGGCGGGCAGACGGCUGAAUGGACGCGCUGUCAGCGACUGCGGAACGAGCUGGGGCUGCUUUGACCGUGUCCAGCCUUGUGCGUGUGGUUUGUUUUCACUUGCAGGCUGAAACAGCAGUUUCCUUAAUUAAAAACACCCCAACAUGUCCCCCGGCCCCCAACAAAAAUAACGCCAAAAAUGCCACUGAAAGAAACACAGGGAGUUUUUAAAAAAUUUCCUUUAGCUUUCUCCCCCCUCCACCCCUACCCUGCUGCGUUCAGUGCAGUGAAUGACCGUGAGGAGAUGGCUGUGGGUCUGGCUGUUGAAGGGUGUGUGAAGGAGAAGGAGGUGUGUGUAGAGCAGGAUUGGUGGUGGAGGUGAGUGCAGCUGGUUUGGGUGUGGGGCUGUAAAUUCUUUUUGGAGGCUUCCUAGUUUCUGGUGUCACCUGCGGGGUGAAGUGUGACUCUGUGCAGGUUUGAAAGGUGCAACGUGCAGAGCUCCCUCAUUUGCCACCAGAUCUCCCAAUCACAGAGACAGCGUCGCUGUGCAGCUGCUAAGGACAGCGCGUCUCGUGCAGAAGAGCAUCCUUUGUGCUCCGUGUGCGUGUUCCUCCUUUGAAAUGAAGUUGGGCCGCCCGGUGUUCCACGUUACGUGUGGUACCUGCUGGGCUGAGUCUCCUCCCCGCGCUCCGGUCGGUUCCGUCGCGCUGCCGCAGCCCCGGCAGCACCGCGGCGUUCGCUGGACGCGUUGUUGGCGGAGCCGGCACCGACAAUCUUGACACGUCGAGGCGCUGCGGUGGGUUUGCCUGGAAAUUCCAAGGUAAUUCCAAGGCAGACAGUAAUAAUCCCCAAUUUAUGUAGUAAAAUUUAAAAGAGUGGAAUAUAAAUACUGGAGCACUAAUUGGAAGUAAUACCUGUAGAGAAAAAAACCUCUAGUUUAUAUCUACAAUAAAAAAUAAUGUGUGCUAGUAAAUCCGCCUGGUAGUAAUGUAAUGAUAAAAAUGUUAAAGUGUAAAUAGAUGAAAUUAUAUAGGCAUGAGCAAGAAGUAAAUUUAAUUUCAGCUAUUACUUGGUGAACUAGGCAGCAGUUGUUCCCAAUCUGAAUGCUAGUUUAAAAAACACAUUGUUUGGAAUUCCUUUUAAAUGAUAAAGGCAGAAAACUAAUGUGGAGUCAUUGGUAGCUUCAUUUGAACAACCGUUAUGAAAUAAACUGCAGACACGAAUGACUGCAUAGGAAACAAAGUGAGGAAGCUUUAGAUUUUAAACAGCAUUGGAAAGUGAUCGGGAGUGUUUAGUAUUUAAAUUAUAACAGAGCCAUGAGAUGGGAGGCAACAAAGCUCAGAACCAAACAGAGUCAAAACGUUACAUUUCUUUUUUUAAAGAGAAGUAUAAAAGGAACCACGAAGUAGUGGCUGUUUAUAAACAGGGGUAUUAAAAAGUUCCCAGGCAGUAAUGAUUCCCAACAGAACACUAAAAGAUAUUUAGAUGUAAAAUAAUAUUAGAAAACAGUUAUGACAGUCUGAAUUUAACCACAGCUUUUUUGGGGUUGUGCAAAAACAUGACCGCUAUUAAUUACCUCUGAGUUAAAAUAAAAAGACAUCAAACUAGAUGUGAUUAACAACAGCUAAUUUUAAUUUUUCAGUGUGCUAUCCAGUCCGGCUUCUCCCUCCAAGGGCGUGGUCUGAGAAAGCCACACCCCCAACUCCACCCCGUCCAAGCUCCGCCCCUGCCAGUCUGUGCCCUCCCCGAGGCGCGUGUCCCUUACAGACCCCUCCCAGCAGCAUAAUGCAUCGAAGCCCCGCCCGCGGCUCCACCCCUAAACUCAGCCCCUGCUAAACCACGCCCCCUCAGAGCACGUGCUAUACAGAGCCCACUCUACUCUCGGCUCCACCCCUCCCUUCCUAAGCUACGCCCUCUUUGGGCGUGUCCUUCUCCCUACCCCAAGCGGCUCCUCCUAUGGGGGUGUGACACACGGAGGCCCCACCCCCUGCCCAGUUCCCCCAGGUGGGCCUCCUAAUGGGCGUGUCCUCCCAGUCCCCGCCCCUCAGCACGGAUCCCACCCCCGUGGGUGGGGCUACACCCAGCUGCGCGCGCGGCCCCCCCACCCAUGCGUGACCCUAAGUAACCCCAUGGCAGCCCUAUGGCUGCCCCACAGGUACCGCUACAGCAGCCCUGCUCCUGCCCCGCAAGAGCUCCAGACACGCCUCUGCAGAGCCCCCACAGCAGCCACUCCAGUGCCCCACAGCUAUCACCGCAGCCGCCCCAUCCCGCCCCACGGCCGCCGCUGCGGGACCCCUGGAGCCCCCGGCCCCACACCCGCCCCGCAGCCCCACAGCGCGCGGUCUCGCGGCCGCGGUGCCGGUGAAGCCACGUGCCGGCCGCGGCCGGAGGAGCCGCCGGUUUUCCCCCCCCACACCCCGAUCGCUGCUGCCGCGGCCGGAGGAGCCGCCGGUUUCCCCCCCCCCACAUCCCCCGAUCGCUGCUGCUGCCGCGGCCCGAGGAGCCGCCGGUUUUCCGCCCAGCCCCGACUCUCCUCCUUCCUCCUCAAUCGCCGCUGCAUGCCGACACGAUGCCUUCUCUUCCGCCAUCUUGUUUCCCCCUUCUCCUCUCAUUCGCUAUUUUAUACCGAGGGAGGGAGGAGGCGCUCGCUGAUUGGCUGACAGUGUCAGACUCGGAAGUCGUCCAUUGGCUCAUCCCCACGAGGGGUUCUCCGAGGGGGUGGGAGAAAGGCGCUGAUUGGUCACCGUGUCGCUGAGGGGAGGAAGGCACUGAUUGGUCACUUUCCGCCGAAGUUCGCCCUCCCAGUAACAGGCGCUGAUUCGCUAGCGCCCCUGAGGUAGAAAAGGCGCUCAUUGGUCGGCGUUUUCUCGCCGACGUUAGCCCACAGCAACGAAGCGCUGAUUGGGCAGCGCGGCUGACGGGGCGGAUCGUCCAUUGGAAGGAGGGCGGGCGGGGGGCGGGACCGGGCGGGACAACGAGGUAAUAAAUGGGGCGGCGCAGAACGCGCGCAGGACCAGAAAGGCGGAGGCGGCAGCGGCAGCGCGAGCUCAUCGGCCCCCCCCCCCCCCCCCCCCCCCCCCCCGCCCGCCGCGGGAAACCGGAGAACGGCAGGAACGGCGGCCGGAAUCAGUUAACGGGGCGGGUCAGGGCGGUAAUUAUCGUGCGGGUGUUAAUUGGGGCUCGGCGGGUUAAUGAGUGACCGGCGGGCUGGGGUGUAUCUGGGGGUUUUGAUCGGAACUGGGGUUUUAAAGCCGCGGGUUUGGGGGGGGGCGGGGGCGAUUAAGGCUCCCGAAGCCGCUUUAGCGGCUUAAAUCGUUGUGUUGAACGCGGGAGGAGCCGGUUCGGGGCUUUUCUCAGCAAGCGGGGCUGGUUUGGGUCUAAUUCGGCUUUUAAAAGAUGUUUUUACGUAAUUUUUGGGUGCCGAUUUGUGCCAGAAGGCGCCUUUGAAAUCUGUUUAUUGAGGGUUUAUCAGGAGAAUUAAAGUUUAAAGCUCGGGGAGAUUUGGGGCUUUUCCCCGGGAUUUUGAGUCCAAAUCGGUUUUUUUAGAGCCCUUAUUUAUUUAAAUUGUUAUGUUUAAAGGGUUUAUUUGAGGUUUUAUUUGGAACAUUUUGGGCGGGUCUGACGCUCCUAAGAUUUAAUUGUUGGUUUAUUAUUUGAUUUAUUAUUUCACUGCGGUUCGGGGCUCCUGAAGACGCUGAGUUGUUUCAAUUAUUUAGCGCUGUGAGGAGCCGUUUUGGGGCCGUUGGGGUCUAAAUCGGCUUUUUGAAAGGUUUAUUUAACGCGUUUAAAGUUUGAGGGGCCGAUUUGCGACUUUAAAGCUUUUUGAAUCUACUUAUUGAUAAGAAUUUAUACAAUAGAUUAAUAUUUAAAGCCCGGGGGGAGAUUUGGGGCUGUUUCCCAGGAUUGCGAGUCCAAAUGCGUUUUUUUCUGUUAACCGCUUAUUAAUUUACAUUAUUAUAUUUAAACGGGGCUUUUUGAGGUUUUAUGAGGGUUUUUUUGAGCAUUUUGGGCGGUUCUGAGGCUCCUAAAGCCGCUUAAUUGUUUAAAUUAUUAAUUGUUAAAAUAAUGUAAGUAGUUGUUGAAAUAAGUGUGUAAGUUAUUGUAUUUAAAGCCGGGAGGGGCAUUUCGUUGCUUUUUGGGGGGUUUUAGGGCUGAAUUCACUUCAUUGAACGUGUCUAGAGCUGGGGGUCCCAGAUCUGGUGCUGAUUUGGCCCCAAAAAAAGCUUUAAAAAUCUAUUUCUUUAUAUAAUUUACUGAAUUAAUAUUUAAGCGGGAACAUGUUCGGCUUUUUUAACCCGCCGCCAUUUUGUCUCCCCCGUCCCGCUCUCCCUCACGCUGAGGGGGCCGAGGAGACGCUCGCUGAUUGGCCGGUGCCGUCUGGCGGGAAAGCCUCCCCCGGCUCAGCCCCGCUCGGCUGUCUCCGAGGGAGAGAAAGGCGCUGAUUGGUCGCUGCCUCUGAGGAGAGAAAGGCGCUGAUUGGUCGCCGCCUCCCUAAACCCACCUCCUGCGCAGAGAACAGCGAAGGCAGCCUGGCCACGCCCCCUCCGGCUGACCACGCCCCCCGCUCCGGCUGACCGCGCGUGCCCCCCCCCCCCCCCCCCCCCCCCCGCAACUCGGCUGACCGCGUGCCCCCCCCAACUCCGGCUGACUGUGCCCCCCUGCCCCCCGGCUGAUCCCGUGCCCCCCCCACUGCACUCCUGCUGACUGUGCGCCCCCCCCACCUCCUCCGGCUGGCCACAUCUCCACUGCACACCAUGGCGGGGAUGGGGCGGGGGGGGAUCACAAGGGUCUAUGGGGCGGUGUGGGGGUCAGGGCGGCUGUGGGGUCAAUGGGGUUGUUGUGGGGUGAAACACCCCUGAAGAGGCUGAACACCUUGCAGGUGAGUGACCCACACAGUGCCCCACAGUGCCCCAUAGCACCUCCACUCUGCCCUACGGAUCCACAACACUGCCCCACAGCACCCUAUAGCUCCUGCUUGCUAUCCCACAGCACCCCAUGGCUUCUCCACUCUGCCCCAUAUGUCUACAGCAGUGCCACAGAGUACCUCAUAUGUCUUCCACUCUGCCCCAUGGGUGCAGAGUGCUGCCCUACAGCACCCUAUAGCUCCUGUACUCUGCCCCACAGAUCCACAGUGCUGUCCCACAGCACCCUAUAGCUCAUCUGGCCUAUAGACCCACUGUACUACCCUACAAUGCCCCAUGGCUCCUGCACUCUGCCCCAUGGAUGCCCAGUACUGCCCCACAGCACCAUAUAGGUCCUGUACUCUGCCCCAUAUAUCCACAGGAGUGCCCCCCAGCACCCCAUGGCUCCUGCACUCUGCCCCAUGGAUGCCCAGUACUGCCCAACAGCACCAUAUAGGUCCUGUACUCUGCCCCAUACAUCCACAGGAGUGCCCCCCAGCACCCUAUGGCUCCUGCAUUCUGACCCAUGGAUGCCCAGUACUGCCCCACAGCACCAUAUAGGUCCUGUACUCUGCCCCAUACAUCCACAGGAGUGCCCCCAGCACCCCAUGGCUCCUGCACUCUGCCCCAUGGAUGCCCAGUACUGCCCAACAGCACCGUAUAGCUCCUCUACUCUGCCCCAUACAUCCACAGGAGUGCCCCCCAGCACCCCAUAGUGACUCUACUCUUCCCCAUAGACCCACAGUGCUGCCGCACAGGACUCUACUCUGCCCCUUAGACCCAGAGAGCUGCCCCACAGCAGCCUGUAGGUGCUGUGUUCUGCCCCAUUGGUGCAAAGUGCUGCCCCACAGCGCCCCACACCUCUGUCCACCUGACCACCCUUCCCUCCUGACUGCGCCUGCACUGCCCACUAUGGGUGGGUCACAAGGGUCUAUGGGGCGGUGUGGGGGUCAGGGCGGCUGUGGGGUCAAUGGGGUGGUUGUGGUGUGAAACACCCCUGAAGAGGCUGAACCCCCUACAGGUGAGUGACCCACACAGUGACCCACAGCAGCCCAUAGCCCCUCUGCCCUAUAGAGUCACUGCUGCCCAUAGCUGCUUUUACUCUGCACCAUAAAUGGACAGCAGUGCUCCACAGCACCCUAUAUCUCCACUGUGCCCCAUAGACACACAGUGCUGUCCCACAGCACCCCAUAUCUUGUUCACUCUGCCCUAUAGACCCACAGUGUAACCCUACAGCACCCCAUAGUUCCUCUGCCCUAUAGAUCAACAGCACUGUCCCACAAAACACCAUAGCUUCUUCCCACUAGCCCAUAGGCCAGCAAUUCUGCCCUACAGCGCACUAGCUCCUGCACCCUAUCCCAUAGACCCACAGCAGUGCCCCCCAGAUCCAGUCUGCCCUAUACAGCCACAGCACUGCUCUGCAGCACCAUAUACUUCCAGCACUCUGCCCCAUUGAUAUGUAGCACCCCACAGCUUCUGCAUUCCACCCAUAGAUUGACGUUCCUGGGUCCCCUCACCCCACCAGCUGUCCUGGGUUGCGAUGCUGCAUGGGGCCCUGUGCACAACAAAAUGAGGACAGCAUGGCUGCUGGGUGCCACCCUGCUUGGAAUCCAAGAUGGCUGGGGGGGGAGGGCUGGCAGCCAUGCUGGCACUGCCGGAGGGGCUGUUGGUCUGCGCCGUGCUCAGGCGGCAGCUCCCGGCUGUAUCGGCUGCUCCUGUGGCCCUGCACCCUGCCCAUGGGAACAAGGUGGCUGCCCUGAUGGGCGUGGCCAUCUCGGCUGCUGUGUCCCUGCUGGUGGGUGGGGCUAUGACUGUCAUGGCUGCCAAGCCUGUGCUGGAAGGGUGGGGCUGAGGUGGGUGGGGCCUGCCUAGGGUGGCCAUUUUGGGGUGGGGCCCAAGGUGGGUGGUGGGGCCUGUGGCUCUGUUUACCCCUGACGGCCAUCUUGGAAAAGGGCAGCGCUGUGCCGCUGCCAUCCUGACGUUGCUCCCCCAGGGCCAUGUUGGGGGAUUUUUAACCUGGUUUUGGGGCCAGUUCUCACCCAAUAAAAUUAAAUAAUGUAAAAAAAC
Molecule: long non-coding RNA, 8186 nt
Organism: Columba livia (rock pigeon)
Lineage: Eukaryota; Metazoa; Chordata; Aves; Columbiformes; Columbidae
Exons: 3
Source: RefSeq, a predicted model, not a curated record